RNAcentral lists this ribosomal RNA (483 nucleotides) under uncultured bacterium. RNAcentral describes it as "partial 16S ribosomal RNA". It matches the Rfam family "Bacterial small subunit ribosomal RNA", at positions 30 to 507 of the family's 1533-position model. The record is from RNAcentral.
UUGAACGCUGGCGGCAGGCCUAACACAUGCAAGUCGAGCGGAUGAAGGGAGCUUGCUCCUGGAUUCAGCGGCGGACGGGUGAGUAAUGCCUAGGAAUCUGCCUGGUAGUGGGGGAUAACGUCCGGAAACGGGCGCUAAUACCGCAUACGUCCUGAGGGAGAAAGUGGGGGAUCUUCGGACCUCACGCUAUCAGAUGAGCCUAGGUCGGAUUAGCUAGUUGGUGGGGUAAAGGCCUACCAAGGCGACGAUCCGUAACUGGUCUGAGAGGAUGAUCAGUCACACUGGAACUGAGACACGGUCCAGACCCCUACGGGAGGCAGCAGUGGGGAAUAUUGGACAAUGGGCGAAAGCCUGAUCCAGCCAUGCCGCGUGUGUGAAGAAGGUCUUCGGAUUGUAAAGCACUUUAAGUUGGGAGGAAGGGCAGUAAGUUAAUACCUUGCUGUUUUGACGUUACCAACAGAAUGAGCACCGGCUAACUUCGUG